RNAcentral lists this long non-coding RNA (880 nucleotides) under Betta splendens (Siamese fighting fish). RNAcentral describes it as "lncRNA (ENSBSLG00000000935.1)". Lineage: Eukaryota; Metazoa; Chordata; Actinopteri; Anabantiformes; Osphronemidae. The record is from RNAcentral.
UGCUGAAUGUGGUUUGUGUACAUCUAAAAACAGCUGUGAUAAGAUCUUAUGAACAUCACACUUGCUCCGCUACUGGUGUCAACUCAGCAGAUGAUUUGCAUAAACGGGGUAGGUGACUGAUGAUAAACUGAUAAUGGUUGGUUUGUAUUUAUAAUAGCACCUCAGCUCCCACUUAAAAUACAGCACCCACAGUCUAAACAGUGAAACCUAUGCAUUAACACUGUAAAAGCAGGUAACAGCAUGUGGUGACAGAGCAACUGAUGCAGUGUGAAAGAUGUUAUCUCCACACCGAGGCUGUGGACUCUCCCCUCUGACCGAGGGUGAGCAGCCUGACAUGGAACACCGAGAAAGUGUCGGGGGAACUUUGUGGCAGGAUUAAUUUUAGGUGGAGGACGUCACACUUUCUGUUCCACGAUGGACAGGAUUUAUAGCGGACGCGGAGCGGAGAGAAGAUCACAGCAACAUCAGCAUCACCUUCAGCUGACAGCAUCAUGAAGACUCUCUGCCUCUGCCUGGGCCUGCUGCUGCUCACCGCCUCCUGCUGUUACACAGCCCUGGCUCCAUACAACAUGUUGGCAACCUGUUGCACUGACGUGACUACAAUAAAAGUGCCUCCAAAGUUGAUCAGGAAAAUAUCCAAGACCCACAGCACAUGUUUAAACAAAGCCUUCAUAAUCACGACUGCUGCAGGGAGAAAGAUCUGCUACAGUCAGAUGAAUGAGUGGGCUAUAAAAAUCUAUAAGCAGUAUCACCAGUAAACAGUAAUAAGCUUUUCUGUACCGCACCAUGAUAAAUGCCUGUUUCUGCAGGUACAAAUGUGUCUGAACUUGUUUUUUACAUUCAAAAUAAACAAGAGAAAGAAAUAAAAGAAUUUUUGUUC